Molecule: long non-coding RNA, 730 nt
Organism: Arabidopsis lyrata subsp. lyrata
Lineage: Eukaryota; Viridiplantae; Streptophyta; Magnoliopsida; Brassicales; Brassicaceae
Exons: 2
Source: RefSeq, a predicted model, not a curated record
UAGAUUUUUCUGCUAUAGUUGUAGAAUUUAGGCUGUAGAAUUAAAUGAAAGCAUGAUUGGUAAAAAUAGCUGUGACUUUUUUAAAGUGAAAACAUGAGAUAAAUAUUAGGUAUAUAUUUUGAUUUUUCUUUUUAAUUUUUACUACUAAACAAAAAAAACACCAUCUAUAUGGCUGUGGAAAGACUCUAAAGACACAACCAAUCAGGCCCUUAGUUAGAUAAGCAAAAAACUAGAAUCACUGGAGAACCUUGUCUUUAUGGCAAAAUUUAAGGAGAUGUACUAAAAAUAGACAUAUGUAACUUUCGUUAUAAAUACUUGUAAGCUUUGUUCAUUUUUAUUAAACUUUUAAAACAUCAUCAAUUCUUCCAUAGCAAAUGAGGAGUAAACGCAAUCCUCUCUCGGCCACUAUUAUCACUAUCUUCACCAUCCUUGCUAUAGGGGUAAUGGAAACAAUGGGGCAGAAAUUGUGUUUUGAAGUUCUACCAAAUACAUAUGGGGUAUCUUUGAGUUCAUCAACAUGUGUCAUUCAAUGGUGUGCCACUCAAUGUAAGAGGAAAGAAGCUAAUGGGAUCGGUACAUGCAAGCCAAGGCCCAAUCAAGAGAAAGUACAAUAUAGAAAACUGAAAGAAGAAUGUCACUGCGUUUAUAAAUGUUCAUAAAACUAUAUUAGAUGGUGAACAUUAAAUCACAUAUUUGUUUACUAUUUUAUAAGAAAUCGUAAUAAUUAUAU